Long non-coding RNA from Oreochromis niloticus (Nile tilapia), 4933 nucleotides. RefSeq lists it as uncharacterized. Lineage: Eukaryota; Metazoa; Chordata; Actinopteri; Cichliformes; Cichlidae. The record is from RefSeq and is a predicted model, not a curated record. The transcript is spliced from 2 exons.
CUCUGCGAACACGGAAAUAAAAGCUGAACAGACUCUCUCUCUCUCUCACACACACACAGAGUCAGACUGAGCUGCACAGCAGUCAUGUGACAAACCGGUUGCUGCUGGUGGAUUUGGUCGCUGGUAGCCUAUCUCAGUGAGCCGCUUACUGUUGACAGUGCUGGAGGUCAAAGAGAGUAUGGCUGCUCCCUUUUCAGGGCAGGGAAAGCACCAGAGAAAGUUCACUGCACAACAAGUAUUGGAUCUACUCGAAGCUGAUGAUAGUGACUUUGGCCCUGAGCUGGACAGCGACAGCGAUUCUGAUGAAUUGUAUCAACCGCAUGAAAGCGAUGGUGGUGAAUCCUCUGCCGAAGACAGUGACUCAUCCAAUCACUUGUCCAGUGAUGAAGAUGUGCCAUUUGCUGAGACUGCUAGCGUACAGAUGGAGCCAAAUCGUGCCGCAAAAAAACGUAUAAAUGGCGAAAGAAAGGCUUUGAGUUGCCUGAUGUGAACUUUCUUGGUGAACACUGGUUUACUUUCGGCGCUUUGUUUCCUUUGAUAUGUUGGAAAAUAUUGUUGAGCACACCAAUCAAUACAGUAUUCAAAAGCAUGGGAAAUGUGUUGACACUUCAGUAAAAGAGAUAGGACAAGUUCUUGGACUGUAUCUCAGGAUGGGAUUAGUUCAAAUGUCUGGAGUACGUCAGUACUGGGAAAACGAAGUUCGUUAUGGGCCUGUGGCAGACAUAAUGAGUCACAACCGAUUCAGCCAGCUACUCUCUGUCAUUCACUUUGUAGACAAUGAAAUGGCCAGUGAAGAAGUAAAAAAGGAUCGACUGUGGAAACUAAGACCGUUUUUGGAUUCUUUUCGGAGACAAUGUUUGACUAUUGCGCCUCGCCAAAAACAGUCCAUCGAUGAGAUGAUGGUGCUGUACAAAGGAAAAUUUGGUGGCAUAAGGCAGUAGAUCAAAGGGAAGCCACAUCCGUGGGGAUUCAAAGUGUGGGGGCGCUGCUGUGUCACUGGCUUCCUGCAUGAUUUUGAUAUAUAUCAAGGAAAAGGAGGUGCCAAUGAGCAAAAAGGGAAGAGUCAGUUGGGAGUUGGUGGAGACAUUGUGGUGAAGCUAUGCGACUCGCUUGCAGAGAAAGUAUGUUUCCUGAUUUUUGCUGACAAUUUCUUCACUUCAAUGCCUCUCAUUGAGAAAUUAUUGGCAAAGGGAAUCUACUACACAGGAACUAUUCGAAAAAAAACACAUGUCAAAGUGCACCCUGAUGACAGACAAAGACCUGUCCAAGAAAGGCCGUGGAUCAUAUGAUCAUCGAAUCGAGUCCAAUACCAAUACUGUGUGUUUGAAAUGGCAAGACACAAAAGCAGUCACUUUGAUGUCAACAGAUGCUGGACCAGAGCCUUCGGGAAAAGCCCGCCGCUGGGACAAGUCCAAAAAAAAGAGUACAUCAACAUUGAUCAGCCAAACAUCAUCAAGGAGUACAACGCUUUCAUGGGAGGAGUUGACAUGCUGGAUGCACAUCUUGCACGCUGUAAGUUUCCCAUCAGGACCUGUCGCUGGUAUAUGAUACUUUUCUGCCAUUUUUUGUCUGUUGUGGUGAUCAACGCAUGGCUUCUUUACCAGCGUGACUGUGAGGCCCAGGGAAUCCCAACAUCGAAAGUACUCAAACUUCGCAAGUUUCAGGGUUUGGUUGCUGAAGGCUUGGUUCAAGUUGGAACAGCAAGAAGUCGGGGUAGGCCAACAAGUUCUGGCUUCUCCUCCCCGCCACCACAAAAAUUUGUUCGAGUUUACAAGAGUGCAGAUGUUCGUUUCGACCAAAUCGCCCAUUGGUCUGUCAAGAAGGAACAUUGCCAUCACUGAACUGUGUGCAAGGACCUCAAAACUGAUAUGCAGUGACUGUGAAAACUGUGCCUCGUGUUCUUUUGUUUCAAACUGAAUCCAGUUCUGACAUGCAACAAAUUUAAAAAAACAACAAAAAAAACAACAACCUUGUUAAAUGUAGCUGUGUGGUUGAUUUAUUUACCCAACUUUAAAAUAGUUUACAUUGACAGUGUUUGUUAUUGUGAUUUUUUAAAAUGAUAUGCCUAAAGCCCAAUGGGUCAAAUUUGACCCAAAUCCUAAAUCAGGGAAUAAAGGGUUAAUAUUGAAAAAGUGGAUAUUUUGGUGUUCAGUGAACUUAUAUAAGUCAUUUAAUGCAUAGUUCAUAAUUUUCCAAAGAAGGCAAUGGUUCUUGGGUUCUCCAGGGUUAACUUGAUGCACUGUGGUAUCAAAACAGGGCCCCACCUUGCUUGCCUUUCAUGAAAUAAACUAAUUAUGUGUUUCACUAACACAUUUAUAGUCAAAUUCUGAAGUCUUCUUACUGUUUCAUCUUCACAGAAUGUGCCAUUGUGGUUCAUGAAGGAGUGUACAGCCUUUCUCUAUCAUUUUCUAGGAAGAUGGGAAAUAGUUGCAGUGAUUUAUUACAGUAUGUAAGGAAAAACAGUUUUGUACACUUCUUAGAAGCUUGAAAGUCAAUAUUUGGUAUGAUUGUCCUUUAUACUUCAGUUUUGGCUCUCUUCGGUUUCUGUUCUCUAUCACGAUUAACCCACACUGCUUCAGUUAUGUUGACAUCUGAGCUCUGGGGAGGCCAAUCCAUCACUGAUAAUUUUCCUUGUGUGCUUUUCUAUUUAUGUCUAUAUCAGCAGUGUGUUUGAAAUUGUUGUUGUGCUAAAAAAUAAAGCUGUGGCUAAUCAGGUGUUUUCCAGAUGGUACUGGUAAAAUAAAAUCUGAUGGGUUUUUUCUGCAUUCACAAUUCCAUCAAUGUCUUGUUUUUUUUUUUUUUUUUUUUUAACUGAAGGUGUGGAGUAAUUUAAAAUAUAAAUAAAUAAAUUAAACCUUAUCUGGACUCCGAUGUAAGUCUUAACUUUAUGUUGUGGUUUUUGAGCCAUGUUGAAGUAUGUUUAAUGUUGUUAUCUGGCAGAUUAAGACCUCCAACGCCACGGGUUGAAAUGCAGCAUCAAAUCAUGACAGAGCCUCUACCGUGUUUUACACAUGGCUGUAGAUACUGUUGUGUUUGAAUGAUAUGUUAAAUAUGUAUGAUGUGUAAACGAUUAUGUUCGGAUUCAUCACGCCAUAAAAUCCGUUUCCAUUGAUUUUCAGUCAUGUUAAUGUGUAAUCUGUCAUACCUUGCCCCCCCCCCCCUUCCUUAAGAAUGGCCUCUUGACAGUCAGCUUUCCACUGCGACCAUUUCUGAUCAGGCUUCAGUGAACAAUAGAUGAAUCAACUAAAGGAUCAGAUGAAUCUCUCAGGUUUUUUUGCUGGAUUUUCUCUGUCUUAAGUACGACUUUUCAGAUGUUUGCCUGCAACAGAGAUUUUACGCCUGUCAUGAUUUCUUUUGUCCUCCACUUGUCCAGUUUCUUCAAAUUUUUAACCACACACUGCACGUCAUGUCAAGACAUGUCAAGUUUACAGUAAAUUGCUCUUUGGGAAUCACCUCGUUGACUAUUUUAUGCCUGUCAAACUGUUAUCUUUGGCAUUUUCAUAUAUUCAACUAAAGAAAUCAGAACAAACUCAGUUUUGUGACGGGCUGCUACAAAGUGCCUAAAGAUACAAAUUGAAAAUUGUUUCUUUGCCAAGUUGGGUGUAGACAUGUACCUUGUUUAUGCAUGUCUUGAACUAUUGCUCAAGACCACCUUAAACAAAAGAAAAGUCUGGCUUGGAAGAAAAAUAUGACAAAAUGAAGGCUGGUUCAAGACACUCAUUUUCCAGUUAAAUGGGUUGAUUUGUCUGCAGAGAGACAGGCAAAUUGACUGGUGAGGCCUUAUCUUGUAACAUCAGUAGCUGACCUUACUAAUAAUCUUGUGGCCUUAUGGGAGCAAAAAUUCCUACUGCCAAAAGUAAUAAUGGAAAGCACAUCCAGAAGAGGGAAGGCUGCAUAGUCCACAGAUUUGUAAUGCAAUGUGUAUCAUAUUGGUGCAAACCUCAGCUGAUCCCCCAGAAUAAAGCGUCAUCAGAAAAAGUUAUUUUUGAAUCCUGAAACCACCUUGAGUCCCAGAAGAGAUGCAAGCAAUAACAUCAACUGUGUAUCUCUCCCCUUGCUACAUUGCAUAGUUUGAAAACUACAGUUUUCAAAUAAUCUGCUAAGCUUUUCCCUUCUUUGCUCUGUCUUCAGCUCCUUGUUAUUCUUCUCAGGAUUAUGACGGUGACGGCAGGGUCAGGAUGGCUUGAAGAAUGUGUUUGCAUUUCUGUAAUCAGUCUGCUACUUGAACUGAUGACUGACUCACAGAUGGAUAGAGAUGGCACACAUGCAUACUUGCAGCAUGGGGUAAUGUGGAGACAGGGAACUCACAUAUAAGCAUGGAUCACGGCAAAGACUUGUUAUUCUACAAACCUAAAGUCAGCAAUGAGUAAAAAUGUCAUUUUUGAAGUCAGAAUAAAAUAAUUAUUUUCAAAUCCUGACUGUAAUAUCUGAGCUCAGAAUCUUACAGUUAGGGCUGGAUAAGGUGACCUUGAAGCAUCACUUUUAUGCUGCAUAGGCUGCUGUAGGACUGUCUGUGAUACACUAAGCAUUUUUGCUAUACACCUCUUUUCACUCCAGGUGUUUCUAUAACACCGCUGUAUGCAGUUUUUUUUCUUCCCGUGUUUUGUCUCCAUCUCCCUCUGCUCUCCUUUUGUUUCCCCUCACCCCCAACUGGUCGCAGCAGAUGGCUGCCCCUCCCCGAGCCUGGUUUUACUGGAGGUUUCUUCCUGUUGAAAGGGAGUGUUUUUUUUUUCCCCCCACUACUGAUUUUGCAGUUUAGGCUACAUCAUAUUAAGAAAAUAUGCAAACAUAUCAGUUCCUGUUGAAAGGGAGACAUUUUCCAUUACUUAUUGUGAUUAUUCAUCUCUGAUAUCAUUUGUUCUGUACCUUGCAGCAUAUUGGGACAACUGUUGUUGUGAUUUGGAGCAAUAUAAAUAAGACAAUGGAAAAAUGA